AAAAUGGUCCUUUUAAGGACCACUUGACGCUAAAUAUUGGUACUUAU
RNAcentral lists this non-coding RNA (47 nucleotides) under Cinara cedri. It matches the Rfam family "Histone 3' UTR stem-loop". Rfam says of the family: The mRNAs of metazoan histone genes lack a poly-A tail. 3' end processing occurs at a site between a highly conserved stem-loop (modelled by this family) and a purine rich region around 20 nts downstream (the histone downstream element, or HDE). The stem-loop is bound by a 31 kDa stem-loop binding protein (SLBP - also termed the histone hairpin binding protein, or HBP). Lineage: Eukaryota; Metazoa; Arthropoda; Insecta; Hemiptera; Aphididae. The record is from RNAcentral.